This 377-nucleotide long non-coding RNA is filed under the name Manihot esculenta (cassava). Its description in RNAcentral is "long non-coding RNA (MESC_LNC004994)". The record is from RNAcentral. Lineage: Eukaryota; Viridiplantae; Streptophyta; Magnoliopsida; Malpighiales; Euphorbiaceae.
CUCUAUCUUAGCUUAAUAAUAAUAGGAGAAAUUUUAGAUUUUAUUAUCUUAAUUUUUAUUUUUUAAAAAAUUAACGUAAAAUAGACGCUUGUUAUCUUAAUAAAUGAACUUUUGAUCAAGUAGUGAAUUUCAAAUCUCUCGGUUAAGAUGGCUCCAGUAUGAAUGAAUCUAUCCAUUUUUCUUGGUAUAUACAUAAUCAACUGUCUCUUCUUUUUUUUUUUUUUUUUUUUUUUUUUUAUUUUGUGUGUGUUUUGUUGUUUGAUGUUUUAUUGUGUUGAGUUAGAUAGUUUUUAUUUUUUUUUUUUUUUUUUUUUUUUUUUUUUUUUUUUUUUUUUUUUUUUUUUUUUUUUUUUUUUUUUUUUUUUUUUUUUUUGAAC